GACCUUAACGAAGCUGUUUGGCCA
RNAcentral lists this non-coding RNA (24 nucleotides) under Arabidopsis thaliana (thale cress). The record is from RNAcentral. Lineage: Eukaryota; Viridiplantae; Streptophyta; Magnoliopsida; Brassicales; Brassicaceae.